RNAcentral lists this ribosomal RNA (663 nucleotides) under uncultured cyanobacterium. Its description in RNAcentral is "bacterial SSU rRNA". It matches the Rfam family "Bacterial small subunit ribosomal RNA", at positions 99 to 795 of the family's 1533-position model. The record is from RNAcentral. Lineage: Bacteria; Bacillati; Cyanobacteriota.
CGGACGGGUGAGUAACGCGUGAGAAUCUGGCUUCAGGUCUGGGACAACCACUGGAAACGGUGGCUAAUACCGGAUGUGCCGAAAGGUGAAAGGUUAACUGCCUGAAGAUGAGCUCGCGUCUGAUUAGCUAGUUGGUAGAGUAAAAGCCUACCAAGGCGACGAUCAGUAGCUGGUCUGAGAGGACGAUCAGCCACACUGGGACUGAGACACGGCCCAGACUCCUACGGGAGGCAGCAGUGGGGAAUUUUCCGCAAUGGGCGAAAGCCUGACGGAGCAAUACCGCGUGAGGGAGGAAGGCUCUUGGGUCGUAAACCUCUUUUCUCAGGGAAGAACACAAUGACGGUACUUGAGGAAUAAGCAUCGGCUAACUCCGUGCCAGCAGCCGCGGUAAUACGGAGGAUGCAAGCGUUAUCCGGAAUGAUUGGGCGUAAAGCGUCCGCAGGUGGCAAUGUAAGUCUGCUGUUAAAGAGUCUAGCUCAACUAGAUAAGAGCAGUGGAAACUACAUAGCUAGAGUACGUUCGGGGCAGAGGGAAUUCCUGGUGUAGCGGUGAAAUGCGUAGAGAUCAGGAAGAACACCGGUGGCGAAGGCGCUCUGCUAGGCCGUAACUGACACUGAGGGACGAAAGCUAGGGGAGCGAAUGGGAUUAGAUACCCCAGUAGUC